This 486-nucleotide ribosomal RNA is filed under the name uncultured bacterium. Its description in RNAcentral is "partial 16S ribosomal RNA". It matches the Rfam family "Bacterial small subunit ribosomal RNA", at positions 30 to 507 of the family's 1533-position model. The record is from RNAcentral.
AUUGAACGCUGGCGGCAUGCCUUACACAUGCAAGUCGAACGGCAGCACGGGUGCUUGCACCUGGUGGCGAGUGGCGAACGGGUGAGUAAUACAUCGGCACAUGUCCUGUAGUGGGGGAUAGCCCGGCGAAAGCCGGAUUAAUACCGCAUACGCUCUACGGCUGACAGCGGGGGACCUUCGUCCCUCGCCCUUUCGGGGUCGCCGAUGGCUGAUUAGCUAGUUGGUGGGGUAAAGGCCUACCAAGGCGACGAUCCGUAGCUGGUCUGAGAGGACGACCAGCCACACUGGGACUGAGACACGGCCCAGACUCCUACGGGAGGCAGCAGUGGGGAAUUUUGGACAAUGGGCGAAAGCCUGAUCCAGCAAUGCCGCGUGUGUGAAGAAGGCCUUCGGGUUGUAAAGCACUUUUGUCCGGAAAGAAAUCCUUGGGCCUAAUACGGUCGGGGGAUGACGGUACCGGAAGAAUAAGCACCGGCUAACUACGUG